AUAUCAGUAAGCGGAGGAAAAGAAAAUAACAAUGAUUACCUCAGUAGCGGCGAGUGAAGAGGUAUUAGCCCAAGAUGUUAAUCCGUAAUAAAGUUAUGGAAUUGUAAUCUAUAGAAUUUCUCAGAAGGAGAGGCUUGUCAUAAGUUCUUUGGAACAAGACACCACAGAGGGUGAAAGUCCCGUCUUUGGAUAAGCCGAACCGUAUGAGACGUUUCUAAGAGUCGGGUAGUUUGGGAAUGCUGCCCUAAGUGGGAGAUAAACUUCUCCUAAGGCUAAAUAUAAGAUAGGAGACCGAUAGCGCACAAGUA
This 308-nucleotide ribosomal RNA is filed under the name uncultured eukaryote. RNAcentral describes it as "partial large subunit ribosomal RNA". It matches the Rfam family "Eukaryotic large subunit ribosomal RNA", at positions 40 to 350 of the family's 3401-position model. The record is from RNAcentral.